UGCCUCUAGAUCUAAUAUUAAAGGUACAUCCUGCCCAGUGAUUUAUUCAACGGCCGCGGUACCCUGACCGUGCAAAGGUAGCAUAAUCAUUUGCCUUUUAAUUGGAGGCUAGAAUGAAUGGACAAACGAAAUUAUUACUGUCUCUAUUAUACACAUAAAAAUUAGCCUUUAGGUGAAGAGACCUAGAUAAAAAUAAUAGACAAGAAGACCCUAUUGAGUUUAACUUUUACCUUUCUAUUUAAACCCCAAAGGUUUGGUUGGGGCGACCAAGGAAAAUCAAAAUCUUCCUUUUUUAAUAAGAUUAUAUAUCUUACUCUUGACCCACCAUCGUGAGCAUAAAAAUAAACUACCAUAGGGAUAACAGGCUAAUCUUCCUAGAGAGCCCAUAUUGACAGGAAGGAUUGGCACCUCGAUGUUGGCUUAAGGGAACUCACUAACGCAGAAGUUAGUAACAGUUAGUUUGUUCAACUAAUAAUCCUU
This 480-nucleotide ribosomal RNA is filed under the name Aphrodita aculeata. RNAcentral's name for it is "partial 16S ribosomal RNA". It matches the Rfam family "Bacterial large subunit ribosomal RNA", at positions 1829 to 2596 of the family's 2925-position model. Lineage: Eukaryota; Metazoa; Annelida; Polychaeta; Phyllodocida; Aphroditidae. The record is from RNAcentral.